Molecule: ribosomal RNA, 855 nt
Filed under: uncultured bacterium
Lineage: Bacteria
Description: bacterial SSU rRNA
Rfam family: Bacterial small subunit ribosomal RNA
Source: RNAcentral
AAGCCGUUGUCCGGAAUUACUGGCUGUAAAGGGAGCGCAGGCGGGAAGACAAGUUGGAAGUGAAAUCUAUGGGCUCAACCCAUAAACUGCUUUCAAAACUGUUUUUCUUGAGUAGUGCAGAGGUAGGCGGAAUUCCCGGUGUAGCGGUGGAAUGCGUAGAUAUCGGGAGGAACACCAGUGGCGAAGGCGGCCUACUGGGCACCAACUGACGCUGAGGCUCGAAAGUGUGGGUAGCAAACAGGAUUAGAUACCCUGGUAGUCCACACCGUAAACGAUGAUUACUAGGUGUUGGAGGAUUGACCCCUUCAGUGCCGCAGUUAACACAAUAAGUAAUCCACCUGGGGAGUACGACCGCAAGGUUGAAACUCAAAGGAAUUGACGGGGGCCCGCACAAGCAGUGGAGUAUGUGGUUUAAUUCGACGCAACGCGAAGAACCUUACCAAGUCUUGACAUCCUGCGACGUGCAUAGAAAUAUGUAUUUCCUUCGGGACGCAGAGACAGGUGGUGCAUGGUUGUCGUCAGCUCGUGUCGUGAGAUGUUGGGUUAAGUCCCGCAACGAGCGCAACCCUUACUGUCAGUUACUACGCAAGAGGACUCUGGCAGGACUGCCGUUGACAAAACGGAGGAAAGUGGGGAUGACGUCAAAUCAUCAUGCCCUUUAUGACUUGGGCUACACACGUACUACAAUGGCGUUAAACAAAGAGAAGCAAGACCGCGAGGUGGAGCAAAACUCAGAAACAACGUCCCAGUUCGGACUGCAGGCUGCAACUCGCCUGCACGAAGUCGGAAUUGCUAGUAAUCGUGGAUCAGCAUGCCACGGUGAAUACGUUCCCGGGCCUUGCACACACCGCCCGU